RNAcentral lists this long non-coding RNA (309 nucleotides) under Androctonus crassicauda. The record is from RNAcentral. Lineage: Eukaryota; Metazoa; Arthropoda; Arachnida; Scorpiones; Buthidae.
UGUGGUUUCUCGGUUGUCACCGGGAUGUCAUCCACAUGCCUCUUGUGCAUUAUAAUAUUGUGUUUCACAGUUGGCGGGGUCUCAUUCUCUUUCCGUCUGGCGGCUAUUUCUGCUGUGGCCCCUGCUGCUGGGCUUCCUAUGGGCGCACCUACAGUUUGUUCGUGUGUACGGUGUCCAUGCAUGAAGUGGGAGCGGUGUGCAGUUGAGUGGCGGAGGUCUCUGGGGAUUGGAGGGUUGCAUUGGUCAGAUGGUGGGUACUGGAGCGUAGGUCUAUACAAAGGGAGAGAUGCCGGUUCUGGUUUUGUGGAG